UACGUAGGGUGCAAGCGUUGUCCGGAAUUAUUGGGCGUAAAGGGCUCGUAGGCGGUUUGUCGCGUCGGGAGUGAAAACACUGGGCUUAACCGAGUGCUUGCUUUCGAUACGGGCAGACUUGAGGCAUUCAGGGGAGAACGGAAUUCCUGGUGUAGCGGUGAAAUGCGCAGAUAUCAGGAGGAACACCGGUGGCGAAGGCGGUUCUCUGGGAAUGUUCUGACGCUGAGGAGCGAAAGUGUGGGGAGCGAACAGG
RNAcentral lists this ribosomal RNA (253 nucleotides) under uncultured bacterium. Its description in RNAcentral is "partial 16S ribosomal RNA". It matches the Rfam family "Bacterial small subunit ribosomal RNA", at positions 524 to 776 of the family's 1533-position model. The record is from RNAcentral.